RNAcentral lists this unclassified non-coding RNA (319 nucleotides) under fungal sp. Its description in RNAcentral is "partial internal transcribed spacer region". The stretch from base 1 to 46 matches the Rfam family "Eukaryotic small subunit ribosomal RNA", at positions 1786 to 1831 of the family's 1831-position model. The record is from RNAcentral. Lineage: Eukaryota; Fungi.
AAGUCGUAACAAGGUUUCCGUAGGUGAACCUGCGGAAGGAUCAUUAAUAAAUUAUCCAAGUAUGGAUUUUUUUCCAUAUACACCCAUGUGCACUGUUUAAAUGUUAUAAUAGAUUUUAUAUUUCCGAUGGUUUAAAAGUGUUUUAGUGAGAAAUUAUUUUUUCAUUAAUCACUCCGUCGGGAUGGAUCUAUAUUAUUAAACUCGAUUAUUUCUUUUACUUAAAAAGUCUGAAGUUAUAUUUUUUGUUUUCUUUUUUAAAGAAACUAAAAAUUAAAAUUGUAAUUAAAUACAACUUUCAACAAUGGAUCUCUAGGCUCUC